Molecule: ribosomal RNA, 944 nt
Filed under: uncultured bacterium
Lineage: Bacteria
Description: bacterial SSU rRNA
Rfam family: Bacterial small subunit ribosomal RNA
Source: RNAcentral
GUUAAUCGGAAUUACUGGGCGUAAAGCGAGCGUAGGUGGCUUGAUAAGUCAGAUGUGAAAUCCCCGGGCUUAACCUGGGAACUGCAUCUGAUACUGUCAGGCUAGGAUAGGUGAGAGGAAGGUAGAAUUCCAGGUGUAGCGGUGAAAUGCGUAGAGAUCUGGAGGAAUACCGAUGGCGAAGGCAGCCUUCUGGCAUCAUAUUGACACUGAGGUUCGAAAGCGUGGGUAGCAAACAGGAUUAGAUACCCUGGUAGUCCACGCCGUAAACGAUGUCUACUAGUCGUUGGGUCCCUUGAGGACUUAGUGACGCAGCUAACGCAAUAAGUAGACCGCCUGGGGAGUACGGCCGCAAGGUUAAAACUCAAAUGAAUUGGCGGGGGCCCGCACAAGCGGUGGAGCAUGUGGUUUAAUUCGAUGCAACGCGAAGAACCUUACCUGGUCUUGACAUACACAGAAUCUUGUAGAGAUACGAGAGUGCCUUCGGGAAUUGUGAUACAGGUGCUGCAUGGCUGUCGUCAGCUCGUGUCGUGAGAUGUUGGGUUAAGUCCCGCAACGAGCGCAACCCUUGUCCUUAGUUACCAGCGGGUUAAGCCGGGAACUCUAAGGAUACUGCUAGUGACAAACUGGAGGAAGGCGGGGACGACGUCAAGUCAUCAUGGCCCUUACGACCAGGGCUACACACGUGCUACAAUGGUAGGUACAGAGGGCAGCUACACAGCGAUGUGAUGCGAAUCUCAAAAAGCCUAUCGUAGUCCAGAUUGGAGUCUGCAACUCGACUCCAUGAAGUAGGAAUCCCUAGUAAUCGCGGAUCAGAAUGCCGCGGUGAAUACGUUCCCGGGCCUUGUACACACCGCCCGUCACACCAUGGGAGUUGAUUGCACCAGAAGUGGUUAGCCUAACUUAGUGAGGGCGAUCACCACGGUGUGGUUGAUGACUGGGGUGAA